CCAACAUUAAGUGGGGCCAGCUAGAGUGACUGCGAGGGGAAACAUGUGGGAAUGGUGGGUUGACGGCAAAUCGUCAAGCCGCCUGUGCAUAGGGCGACACACGUGCGACAUUGGGUAGUACAGAGGGUUGCCAAGCCGUAAGGCGGAGCUAAUCCCUUAAAGCUACUCUUAGUUCGGAUUGUAGGCUGAAACUCGCCUACAUGAAGCUGGAGUUACUAGUAAUCGCAGAUCAGAAUGCUGCGG
Molecule: ribosomal RNA, 243 nt
Filed under: Clostridioides difficile
Lineage: Bacteria; Bacillati; Bacillota; Clostridia; Peptostreptococcales; Peptostreptococcaceae
Description: partial 16S ribosomal RNA
Rfam family: Bacterial small subunit ribosomal RNA
Source: RNAcentral